Molecule: ribosomal RNA, 1263 nt
Filed under: Stutzerimonas stutzeri
Lineage: Bacteria; Pseudomonadati; Pseudomonadota; Gammaproteobacteria; Pseudomonadales; Pseudomonadaceae
Description: bacterial SSU rRNA
Rfam family: Bacterial small subunit ribosomal RNA
Source: RNAcentral
CGGAUGAGUAACGCUUGCUCCAUGAUUCAGCGGCGGACGGGUGAGUAAUGCCUAGGAAUCUGCCUGGUAGUGGGGGACAACGUUUCGAAAGGAACGCUAAUACCGCAUACGUCCUACGGGAGAAAGUGGGGGAUCUUCGGACCUCACGCUAUCAGAUGAGCCUAGGUCGGAAAAGCUAGUUGGUGAGGUAAAGGCUCACCAAGGCGACGAUCCGUAACUGGUCUGAGAGGAUGAUCAGUCACACUGGAACUGAGACACGGUCCAGACUCCUACGGGAGGCAGCAGUGGGGAAUAUUGGACAAUGGGCGAAAGCCUGAUCCAGCCAUGCCGCGUGUGUGAAGAAGGUCUUCGGAUUGUAAAGCACUUUAAGUUGGGAGGAAGGGCAGUAAGUUAAUACCUUGCUGUUUUGACGUUACCAACAGAAUAAGCACCGGCUAACUUCGUGCCAGCAGCCGCGGUAAUACGAAGGGUGCAAGCGUAAAUCGGAAUUACUGGGCGUAAAGCGCGCGUAGGUGGUUCGUUAAGUUGGAUGUGAAAGCCCCGGGCUCAACCUGGGAACUGCAUCCCCCACUGGCGAGCUAGAGUAUGGCAGAGGGUGGUGGAAUUUCCUGUGUAGCGGUGAAAUGCGUAGAUAUAGGAAGGAACACCAGUGGCGAAGGCGACCACCUGGGCUAAUACUGACACUGAGGUGCGAAAGCGUGGGGAGCAAACAGGCCUAGAUACCCUGGUAGUCCACGCCGUAAACGAUGUCGACUAGCCGUUGGGAUCCUGAGAUCUUAGUGGCGCAGCUAACGCAUUAAGUCGACCGCCUGGGGAGUACGGCCGCAAGGUUAAAACUCAAAUGAAUUGACGGGGGCCCGCACAAGCGGUGGAGCAUGUGGUUUAAUUCGAAGCAACGCGAAGAACCUUACCAGGCCUUGACAUGCAGAGAACUUUCCAGAGAUGGAUUGGUGCCUUCGGGAACUCUGACACAGGUGCUGCAUGGCUGUCGUCAGCUCUGUCGUGAGAUGUUGGGUUAAGUCCCGUAACGAGCGCAACCCUUGUCCUUAGUUACCAGCACGUUAAGGUGGGCACUCUAAGGAGACUGCCGGUGACAAACCGGAGGAAGGUGGGGAUGACGUCAAGUCAUCAUGGCCCUUACGGCCUGGGCUACACACGUGCAACAUGGUCGGUACAAAGGGUUGCCAAGCCGCGAGGGGGAGCUAAUCCCAUAAAACCGAUCGUAGUCCGGAUCGCAGUCUGCAACUCGACUGCGUGAAGUCG